This 2836-nucleotide long non-coding RNA is filed under the name Brassica rapa (field mustard). Its description in RNAcentral is "long non-coding RNA (BRAP_LNC008094)". The record is from RNAcentral. Lineage: Eukaryota; Viridiplantae; Streptophyta; Magnoliopsida; Brassicales; Brassicaceae.
UAAAAGUUUGCUUUGUAUUGUUUUUAUUCAUUCAACCCUUUUAAUAAAAAUCUACUUUUUAAAUUUGUUGAAUCCUUUGUUCUUUGGAACAUCGUAAUGCUACGAGAGUGAUCUCCGUAAGCACGGUCUUGUUCACUAGUGGGGCUGCCUCUCACGGACUAAGACCAACCCAGCAAGUAUCUGGCCUUCCGCAGCCUUAUACUGAAGAACCAUCGAUCCACCUUUCCUUUAAUCCAUCUUUGGGUCAAAGUUUAUCCUUUUCACCAACCUUCGAGUGCAUUCCUUGGGAGAUUUUCUAUUAUUUGGUAUCAGAGCACACUUGAGGGUUCGGUGUUCACUUCUGUCAUUCAUCAUUCUCAUCUUUCCAUCUUCUACAAAAAAAAAAAAAAAAAUCCACGAGAAAACAAGAGAUCAUUCCAUCUGAAGUUAAAUCGAGACUGCUCCUCCAUCUCUCGUAAUGGCUCUAGGAGAUUGCUUCUCCGAAAGCAACCUGUUUUGAUCACUAGUGGGGCUGCCUCUCACGGUCACAGGUUCUAAACAUUAUGUCGGAUUUGAGGGCAAAUCCUUUUGAAGGAGGAGGGGAUGAUGUGACCUUGUUCAGGAACAAGCAAAUCAAGAGAUGUCCAAAAAAAAGAAAGGCUCACCAAGAAAAUACAAGCCAAUGUCGUAUAAUAUAUCAAUCUGACGGCAAUUCAGAGACCGUCGAUCAUGCAAAAGGAUGCGACCAGCCAAGGAAUUCUGCGAACACAAUUUCCAAAAUUCAGUCAACAGUCUUGGUCUUUGGUCAAGUCAAUAUUCCUAGUCAAGUCUUCAUAGUUUUAAGAUCUUUAUAGUUUCAAGGAUUGACUAGAUUAUUUAAUUUUACAGAUUGCCUAUUAUAUAAAAGUUUGCUUUGUAUUGUUUUUAUUCAUUCAACCCUUUUAAUAAAAAUCUACUUUUUAAAUUUGUUGAAUCCUUUGUUCUUUGGAACAUCGUAAUGCUACGAGAGUGAUCUCCGUAAGCACGGUCUUGUUCACUAGUGGGGCUGCCUCUCACGGACUAAGACCAACCCAGCAAGUAUCUGGCCUUCCGCAGCCUUAUACUGAAGAACCAUCGAUCCACCUUUCCUUUAAUCCAUCUUUGGGUCAAAGUUUAUCCUUUUCACCAACCUUCGAGUGCAUUCCUUGGGAGAUUUUCUAUUAUUUGGUAUCAGAGCACAAGAGAAAACAAGAGAUCAUUCCAUCUGAAGUUAAAUCGAGACUGCUCCUCCAUCUCUCGUAAUGGCUCUAGGAGAUUGCUUCUCCGAAAGCAACCUGUUUUGAUCACUAGUGGGGCUGCCUCUCACGGUCACAGGUUCUAAACAUUAUGUCGGAUUUGAGGGCAAAUCCUUUUGAAGGAGGAGGGGAUGAUGUGACCUUGUUCAGGAACAAGCAAAUCAAGAGAUGUCCAAAAAAAAGAAAGGCUCACCAAGAAAAUACAAGCCAAUGUCGUAUAAUAUAUCAAUCUGACGGCAAUUCAGAGACCGUCGAUCAUGCAAAAGGAUGCGACCAGCCAAGGAAUUCUGCGAACACAAUUUCCAAAAUUCAGUCAACAGUCUUGGUCUUUGGUCAAGUCAAUAUUCCUAGUCAAGUCUUCAUAGUUUUAAGAUCUUUAUAGUUUCAAGGAUUGACUAGAUUAUUUAAUUUUACAGAUUGCCUAUUAUAUAAAAGUUUGCUUUGUAUUGUUUUUAUUCAUUCAACCCUUUUAAUAAAAAUCUACUUUUAAAUUUGUUGAAUCCUUUGUUCUUUGGAACAUCGUAAUGCUACGAGAGUGAUCUCCGUAAGCACGGUCUUGUUCACUAGUGGGGCUGCCUCUCACGGACUAAGACCAACCCAGCAAGUAUCUGGCCUUCCGCAGCCUUAUACUGAAGAACCAUCGAUCCACCUUUCCUUUAAUCCAUCUUUGGGUCAAAGUUUAUCCUUUUCACCAACCUUCGAGUGCAUUCCUUGGGAGAUUUUCUAUUAUUUGGUAUCAGAGCACACUUGAGGGUUCGGUGUUCACUUCUGUCAUUCAUCAUUCUCAUCUUUCCAUCUUCUACAAAAAAAAAAAAAAAAAAAUCCACGAGAAAACAAGAGAUCAUUCCAUCUGAAGUUAAAUCGAGACUGCUCCUCCAUCUCUCGUAAUGGCUCUAGGAGAUUGCUUCUCCGAAAGCAACCUGUUUUGAUCACUAGUGGGGCUGCCUCUCACGGUCACAGGUUCUAAACAUUAUGUCGGAUUUGAGGGCAAAUCCUUUUGAAGGAGGAGGGGAUGAUGUGACCUUGUUCAGGAACAAGCAAAUCAAGAGAUGUCCAAAAAAAAGAAAGGCUCACCAAGAAAAUACAAGCCAAUGUCGUAUAAUAUAUCAAUCUGACGGCAAUUCAGAGACCGUCGAUCAUGCAAAAGGAUGCGACCAGCCAAGGAAUUCUGCGAACACAAUUUCCAAAAUUCAGUCAACAGUCUUGGUCUUUGGUCAAGUCAAUAUUCCUAGUCAAGUCUUCAUAGUUUUAAGAUCUUUAUAGUUUCAAGGAUUGACUAGAUUAUUUAAUUUUACAGAUUGCCUAUUAUAUAAAAGUUUGCUUUGUAUUGUUUUUAUUCAUUCAACCCUUUUAAUAAAAAUCUACUUUUUAAAUUUGUUGAAUCCUUUGUUCUUUGGAACAUCGUAAUGCUACGAGAGUGAUCUCCGUAAGCACGGUCUUGUUCACUAGUGGGGCUGCCUCUCACGGACUAAGACCAACCCAGCAAGUAUCUGGCCUUCCGCAGCCUUAUACUGAAGAACCAUCGAUCCACCUUUCCUUUAAUCCAUCUUUGGGUCAAAGUUUAUCCUUUUCACCAACCUUCG